AUGUCCAAGCUUGAUAGAAUUUUUUGUACUACUGAGUUUGAGUCCAUUUUUCCUCUAGCCAAUGCUAAGGUACUACCUAGGAUUGGGAGUGAUCAUACACCUGUGAUUUGGGAUUCUGGCUGUAAUGAUCCUCCAAAGAAAUCUAGUUUUAAAUUUGAGAAAUGGUGGCUAGCCAGACCUGAAUUUAGAGACAUAAUAGUUAAGGCUUGGAGAACUAAAUGUGCAAGUCCCAACCCUGUGGAUGUUUGGCAGUGUAAAGUUAGGGCUUUUAGAAGACUAGCUAAAGGCUGGAAUGCAAACCUGGAGGUUUUUCUUAGAAACCAUAAGAAAGCACUCAUGGCAGAGUAUGAUAGGAUAGAUAUUAAGGCAGAAGUAGAUGGUCUUAAUGAGGUGGAUAGGAAUAGGAUGAAGGAGAUUCUCUUUGAGCUUGGGGGGAUUUGGUGCAAAGAAGAAACUAGUACUAGACAGAGAUCUAGAGAUAGAGAUAUCCUAGAGGGAUAUAGGAACACAGCUUACUUCCAAGCUGUGGCUAACCAAAGGAGGAGAAAGAAGUUGAUUCCUGUACUAGAGGAACCUGAGGGGCCCACAUCUGAACAGAGUAAAAUGAUGAAGAUAGCUCUAGAUUUUUAUAAGAAUUUGUUCAAGGAGGAACAAAGACCUAAUAUUGCUUUGAAACAAGAUUUCUUCAAUGUUGAUGAACAAGUUUCUGUAGAAGACAAUAUUAAGCUAGAGGCAAGGUUCACUGAGGAAGAGGUUAGGAAAGCGGUGUUUGAUUCUUACUCAGAUGGGGCUCCUGGCCCAGAUGGGUUGCCUUUUAUGUUCUUUUAGAACUUUUGGGAUAUAAUUAAGAGUGACCUGAUGGCCAUGUUUGAAGCAUGGUAUGAUCAUGACUUAGACAUCUUCAGACUUAACUUUGCAAUGAUCACCCUGAUUCCUAAAGAAGAGGAAGCUAAAGAUAUGAGGAAAUUUAGACCAAUUAGCUUACUCAAUUGUUGCUUUAAGAUUUUUACUAAAGUUCUGACUAAUAGACUAGCUUUGAUUAUUGGUAAACUGAUCUUUGAAAAUCAGUCUGCCUUUAUUAGAGGUAGAUACAUCUUGGAGAGUGUGGUUACUGCACAUGAAGUGUUACAUACUACACACUCUUCUGGUAGGAAGGGGAUGAUUUUUAAAGUAGAUUAUGAAAAAGCAUAUGAUAGAGUGAACUUAGACUUUGUCUAA
RNAcentral lists this ribosomal RNA (1218 nucleotides) under Triticum aestivum (bread wheat). Its description in RNAcentral is "partial small subunit ribosomal RNA". The record is from RNAcentral. Lineage: Eukaryota; Viridiplantae; Streptophyta; Magnoliopsida; Poales; Poaceae.